GAUGAACGCUAGCUACAGGCUUAACACAUGCAAGUCGAGGGGUAACGAGAGGAAAGCUUGCUUUCCUUGUCGACGACCGGCGCACGGGUGAGUAACGCGUAUCCAACCUGCCCCCAACUAGGGAAUAACCUAGCGAAAGUAAGACUAAUACCCUAUAAUUUCCUCAGAUGCCAUCUGACGAGGAAUAAAGAUUUAUCGGUUGUGGAUGGGGAUGCGUCUGAUUAGCUUGUUGGCGGGGUAACGGCCCACCAAGGCAACGAUCAGUAGGGGUUCUGAGAGGAAGGUCCCCCACAUUGGAACUGAGACACGGUCCAAACUCCUACGGGAGGCAGCAGUGAGGAAUAUUGGUCAAUGGGCGGAAGCCUGAACCAGCCAAGUAGCGUGCAGGAUGACGGCCCUAUGGGUUGUAAACUGUUUUUAUACAGGAAUAAAGUUAGCCACGUGUGGUUAUUUGUAGGUACUGUAUGAAUAAGGACCGGCUAAUUCCGUGCCAGCCGCCGCCGUAA
This 506-nucleotide ribosomal RNA is filed under the name uncultured bacterium. RNAcentral's name for it is "partial 16S ribosomal RNA". It matches the Rfam family "Bacterial small subunit ribosomal RNA", at positions 28 to 523 of the family's 1533-position model. The record is from RNAcentral.